UAACUUGUUCAUGUGGCAAUAGCACAUCAGU
This 31-nucleotide non-coding RNA is filed under the name Mus musculus (house mouse). The record is from RNAcentral. Lineage: Eukaryota; Metazoa; Chordata; Mammalia; Rodentia; Muridae.